RNAcentral lists this ribosomal RNA (251 nucleotides) under uncultured prokaryote. RNAcentral's name for it is "partial 16S ribosomal RNA". It matches the Rfam family "Bacterial small subunit ribosomal RNA", at positions 525 to 775 of the family's 1533-position model. The record is from RNAcentral.
ACGUCUUCUUCGCGCGUUAUCCGGAUUCACUGGGCGUAAAGCGCGUGCAGGCGGUUCGGUAAGUUGGGCGUGAAAUCUCCCGGCUCAACUGGGAGAGGUCGUUCAAUACUACCGGACUUGAGAGCGAUAGAGGAAAAUGGAAUUCCCGGUGUAGUGGUGAAAUGCGUAGAUAUCGGGAGGAACACCAGAGGCGAAGGCGACACCCUGGGCCGUACCUGACGCUAAGACGCGACAGCACGGGGAGCGAACGG